Molecule: transfer RNA, 67 nt
Filed under: Ixodes scapularis (black-legged tick)
Lineage: Eukaryota; Metazoa; Arthropoda; Arachnida; Ixodida; Ixodidae
Rfam family: tRNA
About the family: Transfer RNA (tRNA) molecules are approximately 80 nucleotides in length. Their secondary structure includes four short double-helical elements and three loops (D, anti-codon, and T loops).
Source: Rfam by way of RNAcentral
CUGGUUAGCUUUGUUGUAAAGCGCUCCACUGGAAAUGGAGAGAUGCCUGGUUUAAUACCAGGACCAG